UGGGGAAUAUUGCACAAUGGGCGCAAGCCUGAUGCAGCAACGCCGCGUGAACGAUGAAGGUCUUCGGAUCGUAAAGUUCUGUUGCAGGGGAAGAUAAUGACGGUAUCAUAGGAGGAAGCCCUGGCUAAAUAAGUGCCAGCAGCCGCGGUAAUACGUAUGGGGCGAGCGUUGUCCGGAAUUAUUGGGCGUAAAGGGUACGUAGGCGGUUUUUUAAGUCAGGUGUCAAAGCGUGGAGCUUAACUCCAUUAAGCACUUGAAACUGAAAGACUUGAGUGAAGGAGAGGAAAGUGGAAUUCCUAGUGUAGCGGUGAAAUGCGUAGAUAUUAGGAGGAAUACCGGUGGCGAAGGCGACUUUCUGGACUUUUACUGACGCUCAGGUACGAAAGCGUGGGGAGCAAACAGG
RNAcentral lists this ribosomal RNA (403 nucleotides) under Verrucomicrobiota bacterium. RNAcentral's name for it is "Verrucomicrobia bacterium partial 16S ribosomal RNA". It matches the Rfam family "Bacterial small subunit ribosomal RNA", at positions 355 to 776 of the family's 1533-position model. Lineage: Bacteria; Pseudomonadati; Verrucomicrobiota. The record is from RNAcentral.